UACGGAGGGGGCUAGCGUUGUUCGGAAUUACUGGGCGUAAAGCGCGCGUAGGCGGCUUUGUAAGUUAGAGGUGAAAGCCCGGGGCUCAACCCCGGAACUGCCUUUAAGACUGCAUCGCUUGAAUCCAGGAGAGGUGAGUGGAAUUCCGAGUGUAGAGGUGAAAUUCGUAGAUAUUCGGAAGAACACCAGUGGCGAAGGCGGCUCACUGGACUGGUAUUGACGCUGAUGUGCGAAAGCGUGGGGAGCAAACAGG
This 253-nucleotide ribosomal RNA is filed under the name uncultured bacterium. RNAcentral's name for it is "partial 16S ribosomal RNA". It matches the Rfam family "Bacterial small subunit ribosomal RNA", at positions 524 to 776 of the family's 1533-position model. The record is from RNAcentral.